UGUUAAAAAAUUUAUCUUUUUUACUAUUAAAAAUUAGCGUGACAGACGAAAUAACUAGAUAGUGACACAUGACACGUGUACCUCAUAUUGAUGUGUAUGAACUAAUUUUUUAACAAUAAAAAUAAAUGAAAUAUUUAACA
Molecule: microRNA precursor, 140 nt
Filed under: Gossypium arboreum
Lineage: Eukaryota; Viridiplantae; Streptophyta; Magnoliopsida; Malvales; Malvaceae
Description: MIR7502 microRNA precursor family
Rfam family: MIR7502 microRNA precursor family
Source: Rfam by way of RNAcentral